This 1060-nucleotide long non-coding RNA is filed under the name Citrus maxima (pomelo). Its description in RNAcentral is "long non-coding RNA (CMAX_LNC001055)". The record is from RNAcentral. Lineage: Eukaryota; Viridiplantae; Streptophyta; Magnoliopsida; Sapindales; Rutaceae.
AAUAUAUGGUGAUAAUAACUACAAAUCAAGCUCCCUCAAGAAAAUGCAUAUGAAAGUUAGUAUACCAGCCUCUCCUGAUCCUGAUUCAAGUCAUUCAACUUUUUGACGGCUUAAAGGCAAGAUCAGGAUCUUAUUAACAACAAUGAUGAUAACUACAUGUCAAGGUCUCUCAUGCAAGAAAUACCACUACCUCAGUAUAUUUCAUUUUCAGGAAGGUUUUCGGCUAUCAAAAUAAUCUGUAUGCAUUUUAUUGAUUCAAUCAUUGUUAUAUACAGCACAAGCCAACUCUGCAUUUUCUUUUGAUGCAUGGUUAAUUCUUUACAGGAAUAUUUAAUUCAGCAUGCCUUUACCACUUUAUUAUAUAUUUUCUGCCCAUCAACCGAAACAUAGGUUCUUCCCUCAUGAAAAUUUUUGAAAGGUGAUAAAUAAUACAUUUGCCUCUCUACUUUGUCAUGUAUUUUGCAUAUUUGAUCAAAUAAAUAGAAAAAUACGUUAUGUACUCCAAAAUGUGCAAGGAGUUCAAAGAUUAGCUAAGUUAUGAUAACAAAAAUACAUGAAUUCUACGUUAGUAAUGUCAAAGUAAACAAGAACAAUUAGUGACUAACAAUCCUGCUGAUAGUUACUCUGGUUCACUGAACAAUACCUUUCUUUUCUUUUAGAAUACAAUUAGAUACAGCUGCAGAAAUAUUUCUUGAAGUUUGGGGAUCAAUAGUAGAUGAAUCUAUUAAUAAUUGCGGUCUUACAGAAUUCCCUCCUUGAAGCAAACCAUUUGGUCCAUUGUAGACAUCCAAUACCUACACAAAAUAAGAUUAAGUUUUCACACUUUACACAUGUUUAGCAAAAAUAAAAACCUUGAAGAAAGAAAACUUUCCUUGGUUGAGCAUAUGUGAUGAUCAAAACUUAACUUGCUUUAGUAUGCAUUAAAGGAAGAUGCAGGUUGUCACCAGAAGAGGAGCUAUAUUCUUGCUUGAAUAACCAUCAAGGCCAGCCAGAACAGAGAAAAAUCGUGUGUGCACGUAUGUGUGUUUUAGGUCAGCAAACUGAAUCAUAAUACUCACAU